RNAcentral lists this ribosomal RNA (1372 nucleotides) under uncultured bacterium. Its description in RNAcentral is "bacterial SSU rRNA". It matches the Rfam family "Bacterial small subunit ribosomal RNA", at positions 28 to 1381 of the family's 1533-position model. The record is from RNAcentral.
GAUGAACGCUGGCGGCGUGCCUAAUACAUGCAAGUCGAGCGAACGGACGAGAAGCUUGCUUCUCUGAUGUUAGCGGCGGACGGGUGAGUAACACGUGGAUAACCUACCUAUAAGACUGGGAUAACUUCGGGAAACCGGAGCUAAUACCGGAUAAUAUUUUGAACCGCAUGGUUCAAAAGUGAAAGACGGUCUUGCUGUCACUUAUAGAUGGAUCCGCGCUGCAUUAGCUAGUUGGUAAGGUAACGGCUUACCAAGGCAACGAUGCAUAGCCGACCUGAGAGGGUGAUCGGCCACACUGGAACUGAGACACGGUCCAGACUCCUACGGGAGGCAGCAGUAGGGAAUCUUCCGCAAUGGGCGAAAGCCUGACGGAGCAACGCCGCGUGAGUGAUGAAGGUCUUCGGAUCGUAAAACUCUGUUAUUAGGGAAGAACAUAUGUGUAAGUAACUGUGCACAUCUUGACGGUACCUAAUCAGAAAGCCACGGCUAACUACGUGCCAGCAGCCGCGGUAAUACGUAGGUGGGCAGCGUUAUCCGGAAUUAUUGGGCGUAAAGCGCGCGUAGGCGGUUUUUUAAGUCUGAUGUGAAAGCCCACGGCUCAACCGUGGAGGGUCAUUGGAAACUGGAAAACUUGAGUGCAGAAGAGGAAAGUGGAAUUCCAUGUGUAGCGGUGAAAUGCGCAGAGAUAUGGAGGAACACCAGUGGCGAAGGCGACUUUCUGGUCUGUAACUGACGCUGAUGUGCGAAAGCGUGGGGAUCAAACAGGAUUAGAUACCCUGGUAGUCCACGCCGUAAACGAUGAGUGCUAAGUGUUAGGGGGUUUCCGCCCCUUAGUGCUGCAGCUAACGCAUUAAGCACUCCGCCUGGGGAGUACGACCGCAAGGUUGAAACUCAAAGGAAUUGACGGGGACCCGCACAAGCGGUGGAGCAUGUGGUUUAAUUCGAAGCAACGCGAAGAACCUUACCAAAUCUUGACAUCCUUUGACAACUCUAGAGAUAGAGCUUUCCCCUUCGGGGGACAAAGUGACAGGUGGUGCAUGGUUGUCGUCAGCUCGUGUCGUGAGAUGUUGGGUUAAGUCCCGCAACGAGCGCAACCCUUAAGCUUAGUUGCCAUCAUUAAGUUGGGCACUCUAAGUUGACUGCCGGUGACAAACCGGAGGAAGGUGGGGAUGACGUCAAAUCAUCAUGCCCCUUAUGAUUUGGGCUACACACGUGCUACAAUGGACAAUACAAAGGGCAGCGAAACCGCGAGGUCAAGCAAAUCCCAUAAAGUUGUUCUCAGUUCGGAUUGUAGUCUGCAACUCGACUACAUGAAGCUGGAAUCGCUAGUAAUCGUAGAUCAGCAUGCUGCGGUGAAUACGUUCCCGGGUCU